AAAAAAUAAGCGAGCUUUUUCAUCAGCACAAUUCUACAGCCCACAACCUUUAGUUCUCAUCAGCACUACUUUCCCACAAUUAAACCCUAACUUUUCUAUGGUUACGAUCGAUCUCAUCUGAUCUCUUAAACCGCUUGAAAUUGUUGAUUUUUCGUUCCUCUCUUCAGUAUAAUCUUAAAUUAUUGGUAAUCCCCUCGCUCUUGUCAUCAAUUUUCCGUAAUCUCCUUGUUAUUGGCAUCAAUUUCGUAGUUUUUGGUUGAUAUAUCACUCAAAUUAGGUUGCUUAUGAGGCAUCAAUGUCAGAGUAUUGUCCACUCUAAAUUUUCCAUUGAAGCGGCUUCCGAAGCUUUCUCUCCUCUAUUGAACUAGCUUCUGAGGUAUGAUGUUUUACCAUUAAAAUCACCGAAUAUCAAUUUUACAACUUAAGGGUUUAAUUUCACUCUGACAUUUACCUUUAAAGUCAUUCUCAAACUCUCUCAAUCGGUUUCCACCACCACACCACUGACAUUUGCGACGAACGACUGCGCUCAGGCCAUGGUAAACGGUGAUGCUAAUCCGGCCACGGUGUAAGUUAUUCUACUAAAUUUGUUUUCGUCUGAAUUGUGUAAUUAGGGUUCUAAAUUUUUGUUCGUCUCUAACAUUGCUGAAACCGAAAUAUGUUUAUAUAUUUUUAAAUGUUAAAUUAGCUUGAUGUGUAAUCUCCUAUGGUCAAAGCAGUAGAUCGAAGCAGAAGCAAAUACCUAGCCGCAGAGGUUUUUUCCUCGAAUUUUUAGUUAUUUUAUUUGAAUUGUUUUCUGUAAUUUUGUUGAUUUUUAAGUGUAUAUUGAGUUUGAAAUUUUAGUUGAAUUCUCUAGGUUUUAUGUUUUGGUUAAUAUGGUAGAAAUUUUCUGGAUUAUAUUUUUUUGUUGAGUAUAUUUGGUGGUUUUGAAGCAUUGUUGUUGCAAUUUAGAUUUUUUUUUGGGUUAGAUUUUGCAUUUUCAUUUAUUUUUGUCACAAACUAGUAAAUUAUGCUCUACUGUUGUUGUUGCCCAACUAGGGUUUUGCAGUGAAACUUUUCUACAAAUUGAGGUUUAAACUGUUAAUAGAUAAAAAAUAUAUAUAUAUAUAUUUUGGUGAUUGGUUUCCAUCAAAAUUGUAGAAAGAACAAGCAUGAUGAAAUUCUAGUAUUUCGAUUCAGUGUUGUUUAUACACUAUAUAAAUCGUUAUCAAAGUCUUUUUUUGGCUGUCAAAAUUAAAACUAGAGAGAAUUAUUUUUUUCUUUACGAGGUCUUUUUCUCACAUUUAUGUUGUCUAUUGUGGUUUUGUAUAUACAAAUCUGUAGAUAUUAUCCAGCAACUUUUUCCAUUCUGAUUUGUAUUGGUUAAUCUAUCUCUGUUAGCAAUGAAAAGUAGGAGCUGCUUUUGUUUCUUUAUUGUUUUGAAUGGAUGAUUUUCUACUGCUUUUUCUGCACAUUUGUUUCUAUCUCUCAUUUGUUUUAUCCUUAGUUACACAGUAAAGAAAAAACAAAUUGCUGCUCCUUCGCCUUUUUUUUAUAAAAUUAUUUGGUUUAACAUGUAGAUUGCAGCAAUGGUGAUUCUCAGCAUCCCAAACUGGAACUUCCUGGUACUAAUUACAUGCCCCUGAAUCGAUAGGUAUUUUAUUUAAUUUUUAUAAAAUGCAGUUUUCAAAACUCUAUCAAAAGGCAAAGAGCUCUAGAUAUCUUCUAAGAUCAAGAUAUUGUAUAUAUCUUCUCCCAAUGUUACCCAUAUAGAGCUUUAAACUUAUAGUCAAAGUUUUCAGGAUAGUGCAAGAAAGGCCCAUAAGCCUUAUGGGGAGGAAAAUGGAUCUGCAAAUGCAAGUCAUCACCAAAAUAAAUGUUGGUUAUAAUCUCAUAGUUCCUAAUAUUGAGUAUUGUUGUAUUGGGUGAUUAGUUAAUAGUUUUAUUAUGUAAUAAUAUGUAUUAUUGUUGAACAUUUCUAUUAUAGAAUAUGGAUUAUAUUUUCUAUAAACUAUUAGUUUUACAUUAGUUUAACACUAAAAUGGUUCUCCUGAUUUGAAGGAUGAGCUCUUGUGGGCAACUACUUGAUUGUACAGAGCCACAAAUAAUGACUACUACUUGCAGCAUGCAUCUUACAGUGCAGCCAAUUUAGGUGGAGCUGGUAAUUCAGUCAAGAUGUUCUCUUGGGAUAACAAGUAUGCUAGUGUAUAGAUCCUUCUAACAAAGGUUUUUCUUGGAUGGAGAUAGUCGAGCAUAUAGUGACACUCUGAAGCAAUACAAAGCCAAAGCAGAUUUCUUUGUUUGCGCUUAUUUGCAGAAAAACAAUGGUGACAAUGUUCCCAUGACUCCAGGUCAAUCUUCUAUAUCUAUUCUUAUUUGUAAUGUUUAAGAUUUUGGUGCAUAUGCACUGUCUAAUGGUACAGAUGAGACCGAGCUUAAGCUGACUAUUUCUUUCCUUGUUCUUAUGAUUAGGAGGGCUGGUAUUCCUACUCGCGUCAAACAAUUUGUUGGUAACUUUAGUGUUUAUAUUUGUUGGUAACUGAUAUCUUACAUACGUCUUAGCUUUUGUGCUGCCACUUGAUGAUGCUCAUGACUUUUUGUGUUGGUGAAAAAAUAUGUGUGCGUAUUUGGUUUAUGUAUGGUAGUGUACGUGUGUCUUAGAUUUUUGCAUGUGUGGAAAAAGUGUGCAAUGGCAAUGUGGCCUUCUAAACUUCACAGGCCUUUGCAUGCUUGCUGCCCAAGUUGUAUCUUGUUUUUGUGCUUUCUCCAUCAUCAUACUCUAUUUUUUAUGAAAAAUUUUACUUUGCCAUUUAUUUCAUCAUUUUUUCUUAGAAAUGUUUUUCAAGUACCAAACUCAUCAAAAAUAACACUUAUACCAUUGCAUUCCUUUAGAUAAUUUUUUUACCCCUGUAUUUCUUCUAACAAUUAAAUAUUAUAUACUUAUUCAUUUUUCUUUUUUUUUUAAGGUUAUGAAUGCAACAUGAGAACAAAGGAAACCUACUGAAGCUGGAAAUUAGCCUACUAUGCACCUUCAUUUGUUUAUAGUUAGUUAGAUAGUAGUUAACUUAUGUAGGCUUCAAUCUAACUUUUUAAUUUAGUUGGCAGUUGAUAUAUGUAAUAAUAAUUAUGAUAUUUAAGACAUAGCUAGGUUUUUUUUAAACAUCCAUCAGUGAUAGUAUGUAGGCCAGGGAUUGGAUUUCAACUCUUUUUUGUUCGUUAAUUUUGAUAGAAACUUUAUUAAUUUUAUAUAUGUUUUAUACCUUGUUGGUAGUG
Chenopodium quinoa (quinoa) is the source of this 3249-nucleotide long non-coding RNA. RefSeq lists it as uncharacterized. The record is from RefSeq and is a predicted model, not a curated record. The transcript is spliced from 2 exons. NCBI's taxonomy places the organism in Eukaryota, Viridiplantae, Streptophyta, Magnoliopsida, Caryophyllales, Amaranthaceae.